Long non-coding RNA from Manihot esculenta (cassava), 3125 nucleotides. RefSeq lists it as uncharacterized. The transcript has 4 exons. The record is from RefSeq and is a predicted model, not a curated record. Lineage: Eukaryota; Viridiplantae; Streptophyta; Magnoliopsida; Malpighiales; Euphorbiaceae.
CUCAGAUGUGUUAUAUUCUGAUACAUAGAAUAAGACUAUAUGCAGGGCUAGCUUCUACCUGCUGCCUGUGAGGUUUAAUUUUAGACUAUAUAUAAAUCAUGCUUGGGGAACCCCAUUGCUUGGAUUUUAAAUCAAAAUAUUUACUAUGAUCAAUGCUUUUCUAUUAUUACAUUUGCUGAUUUGCUUAAUCGUAAGAUCAAAUUCUGUUUUAGUUAUUUUUGUUAUUACCCACCGGCGCCGGUGGAAGUGGCAGUAGCCGUGGCCUCACCGUUGAUCAAACGCUGUUGUGUUUGGGUGAGGCCAUCCAAGUAACUGUGUUGGGGAAAACGCGGUGUCGGCAUUUUUUACCCGCUGGUGAAGGGAUAUGGUUUCCCACUAAAACGAUACCGUUUGAAGCUCGGAAGUGAGCAAACUAUCUCCCGCUCCACUCCCAGAGAUCUUUCCUCUCCACCCAAUUUUUCCCUCGAUUUCUCUUUCGUAUUUUCCCACAGUUUUUCUCGGAGACCAAACUGAACUCGAGAAACUCAAGAGUUUCCACUCUGUUAUCAUGAGCUUGCUCAUAAACCACUGUGUUAGCUGUUGAAUAAAUAACCACAGAACCAUUGACGGCGAGUUAAUCUUAUCGUUUUCUCUUUUCAAUUCCAUUUUGGCUGGAAUAAUCGACUCUGUCAAUUUCGCUUCUACACUCAAAAUGAGUAAUGUCUUCCACAAAUGCGAAUCUUCGCGGCGAUAUUGAAUCGUUCUCGAAGAUUGAUAGCGACGACAGCUAUCGAAUUAAGACGAUAGCAAGUUCCCUUGCAGGAGCUGCAGUUGUGUUUUCUUUGAUUCUGGAAGAAGCUGCUUCUGUCCAUACUUUGGCUGAUGGAAGCAUUGGUUUCUGGUUCCAGGCUUCUGUAUUCAGCGGGACAACAGGCUAAUGAAGCUGUUCAGGACCAGUUAUCAGCCCUUACUUUCACCAAGUUUGUCCUGACAUUGCUUCUAUCUAUUUUCCAUCUGUUUCUUAAAAAGAUCCACUGCGUUUAUCCAUAUUUUUUUUGGUUAGCUGCUUAUUAUUACAGUUUUUAGCAAGUUAUUUUUGGGGCAGGGCUCGUGACUGGCCUUUCACAUGUACACUGAGUGUUCUACCAUUGACCUUGAUUACAUUGGAACAGGAGAGCAUAUGGCUCUGGGAAGGCAGGGUUCAUUUUCUUUUUCUUUUUGAAGUCCUUGUUACUCAGAGUCACUUUUGUUCUGAUUAUUGCAUAUUCUAUUGGAUUGUUUAUGGCACUAGCUCGUAUUGGCAUGGCAGUCUCAUUUGCUGGGAAGGCAUAUGGACAGAUAGGGCAACGACUACCUUUGAUUGCUUCUGGUUUGGCCAUUAUUAGGAUCUAAAUCUCCUUGAGACACCAAUAUAUUUUCCCUAUUUCUUAUUUGCAAGUUUUGGCUAUUUGUUUGGCUGUUCUGUGCACUUGAUGUGGCCUUUUUUUAAGACAGUUGCCAAAAUAUACUUCAUUUGAAUAACAUAUUUGUGAUUUAGUUCUCCUUUUCUUUCUCUUUUUUGGUAUUCUCAUUCUGGGGAAGUACUGCAGAUAAUUGAAUUGCAACUCCUUUCACUUUUUUAUUAUUUCGAUCCCUCUGCUGCUGCUGUCAGUUUUCCGCCAAGUAACUGGCCAUUUCAGAUUUUACCUAAUCCUUUGGAUAGUUAUUAUAUGGGAUCUAGUUCUCUUGAAAGUUUUAAUGAUGAAAAGUAUAGCAAUUUUAGACGUGCAAGCAUAUUUAGCUGGGCUUACUUUUAAAACAACAAAUAGCGUAGUCAUUACUAUAGUGUGUUAAGCAAGUCCGAUUAAUCUAUUGCCUUGCUUCAAUUUUCUUUUUAAUCAUUUCAAAAUUUAACCUUGUAAGACGUUUGCAGAGCCUGCUGUCAUUUCACGAGCAUGGAUCAAUUCAAUGAGUGGUGCACUUCUUCUAUGAGGGGGCGUAUGUAGUUUCUUUGGAAGGCUCUUCCCGGCCGCAUUGGCGAUGUAAAUAUUCCAACAUGUUUUGCAGGUUUCACUUCAAAAUGUACAUUGAAAAUAAUAAUGGGUAUAAAGUAGUAUAAGAUCACUGCUGGAAUUCUUCCCCGUUCCACACUAGGUUACACCUUGGCACAACUCGGCACUUUGUAGGUUUCUCGCAAUAAUACUACUAUAAAUGUUGCGGCACUGGCAACUCAUGGCAGAAAGUAUUCAUUACCAUAGCGGAGGGAGCUUGCUCUUCCUUCAGUAAGAAAGAGAAAUUUCUCUCAUCUUUUUCCUGUUAGGAGUUUAGCCCUUUUUUGAGUGCCAUUUUUUGUCGGACUCUCCUGCCCAUCGGGCAAGGGAGGCCUCUCUCCGCUGUCCCUGCAUGGUUUCCCUCUCUCUACCGGGUGUUGUUGUGAAUAUUUUUGUUUUGAUGGUGGAUGCAGCAGAUACAGUCUGUUAGGGUUCUAGGAUUCUUUGGGUUGCUCAGUUUUGGCUCUUUAGCCGAGUUUGCCGGGUCCUUUUCUUUUCCUUUUUCUUUUUUUGUGUGUUGGCUUUCUCUUGUAUUUUUACAGGUUUUAGAGGUGAGAUGACAACUCAGACACAGUCGAUCCCUUCGGAUCGAGAUGUGUCAAAUGGCUCUCCUCAACCUCUUUCCUUCACGGAUCUGAGCCUGUUCUUUUUGGUGCUGAGAGCCAAAUCUCUGUACUCCAUGUCUAGUUUCUGUUCUGAGUGGAGACUUUCCAGCGGGACCUCGCAGAGAUCAAGGAAUCUCAGAUGGCGCGAGUGAUGGUGAUCUGAUGCUGUGACGGAUUUUUCUACUGCCGGCAAUGUCUGUUGGUGCCGCGAAGAGUUUAUGGGAUGAGUUUCAGCUUGACUCUUACUUUUUCGGAUUCCCUUUUGGGUCCCAACUUGCUUAGACUUAGGGUUAAGUUUAUCUAUUUUUGGGGCUUUUUGCAAAAUUAGGGGUGAGAGAAGAUUUAUUUGUGGAUUUAAGGUUGAAGAAAAAUUAUUUGCAGAUUUAGAGUUGGACUGUUAUGUGGCAGCCGAAAAGAGAGUCUGGUGUGCGCCAGAGCCUGGUGCCAUUUAGAAUGGCGCCAGACAUUUUUUUUUUAUAAGAAUGGCUUGGCGGCGCGCUAUUUUUUUUUU